RNAcentral lists this transfer RNA (65 nucleotides) under Laccotrephes robustus. Its description in RNAcentral is "tRNA-Thr". The record is from RNAcentral. Lineage: Eukaryota; Metazoa; Arthropoda; Insecta; Hemiptera; Nepidae.
GUUUUAAUAGUUUAAAUAAAAACAAUGAUCUUGUAAAUCAUAAAUAGGAAAUAACCUUUAAAACU